AAUAACAGGAUUAGCAUGUAGAUAUAUGUGUGUAUAUGUGUGUGUGUAUGUGAUGUAUAUAUAUACACGUUGGCUUUGAUUGUGAAGAAAGAUACAGAGGGAUAGAGAGGGAAAGCAUGAGAAUUUGAAGGAACAAGAAAGUAGACGCAAGAAAAAGAAGCGAAAGUGAUGCGGAUAUUUAAAGAUGAAGAAGGAGGAGGUGAAGUUAGAAUAUCAAGAUAUCGCAAAAUGUGUGUGUACGUAAUAAUUGAACAAUGAAAAUUGUGACGCUCACCCGCUAACACACACAGACAAACAAAUUUGUGGAAGAGACAUGGAGUCCUGUUUGGAAUCCGCACCGGAAGGACAAACAAGGAGAUUUCAGACUUCCUCAACAUCAACAGAAGGACUGUGCAAACGGUCAGAAAGGAGCUGAAAGAUUCAGGAUUCGAUUACGAGAUGAUAGCAGAGAAGAAAACCCGUGAUCGACGAACAGACGCCAUCAGAACGUUGGAAUUUGUCACUGAAACCCAGAUCAUCAACAAUGAUCCCAGGUCGAGUGGACAGCAUAGCAACUUAAUCGUCGGUUCGGUCAUUUCUGUUGUACGUCGUUGUGUUAGAAUUUCUUACCAUGAAGCCACUG
This is a long non-coding RNA of Octopus sinensis (East Asian common octopus), 622 nucleotides long. RefSeq lists it as uncharacterized. NCBI's taxonomy places the organism in Eukaryota, Metazoa, Mollusca, Cephalopoda, Octopoda, Octopodidae. The transcript has 2 exons. The record is from RefSeq and is a predicted model, not a curated record.